UGCUAUACUCAAAAAUUCUAUAUAUUUGAUUGCGAAAAUCCUAAAAUCGCCCCUACAAAUGAACAAAUAUGUGUUAGUUCGGUUCCAAUUACGUACGAACUAAUUACUAAAUUAAAAAAAAAUAUUACAAAGACUUACGAUAUGGACAGUCUCGCCGUCGUCGUGUCCCGCACGAUGGCUAGUUUGUCAUCCACAGUCAAGCCCGCAUGUCUAGCCAUCAUAGGAACGAUCACAGUCACAGCACUAAGUUCUUCUCAAGCUGUCCCUAUGUCAAACAUGAAUGAUCGGGGCACACAUAUCAUCGAAUCAGGGAACACGAUCUCCAAUGUGAGGCAGUGCUGAUUCACGAUCACUAGAAUGUACAAAUACGUACAACCCUCCCAUGGCUUUCCCCCAACACUCGGCGACAGCCUGAUGACCAACUCGAGUAUAUACACAGAAAGCACGUACUCAUUACCUAGAAGCUGGAGCGACUGAUACUCAAUGGUAACGGAACGGAAGAACUCGGUGUUCAGUAUUAUGCGACCAAGCUUGUGGAAUGAUUGUGGAUAUCUCUCAACUCGAUCGCGCAACAAGUCUAUGGCCAUGUCGAUGUG
RNAcentral lists this long non-coding RNA (596 nucleotides) under Olea europaea (common olive). RNAcentral describes it as "long non-coding RNA (OEUR_LNC012199)". Lineage: Eukaryota; Viridiplantae; Streptophyta; Magnoliopsida; Lamiales; Oleaceae. The record is from RNAcentral.